RNAcentral lists this transfer RNA (71 nucleotides) under Rhizobiaceae bacterium. RNAcentral describes it as "tRNA-Phe". It matches the Rfam family "tRNA". Rfam says of the family: Transfer RNA (tRNA) molecules are approximately 80 nucleotides in length. Their secondary structure includes four short double-helical elements and three loops (D, anti-codon, and T loops). Lineage: Bacteria; Pseudomonadati; Pseudomonadota; Alphaproteobacteria; Hyphomicrobiales; Rhizobiaceae. The record is from RNAcentral.
CGCGGGGUGGAGCAGCCCGGUAGCUCACCACUAAAAAUUGGAGGUCGCAGGUUCAAAUCCUGCCCCCGCGG